GGGGGCGACCGGUUUCGACGGAAAGUUCUUUAAAAAACUGCAAGCCAAGUUUGAUUUCUACUUGUCAAAAGGAAUCAAAAACAAGCGUCAAAUCUAACGAUUUCGCUGUAGCCUACGCUUAAAAAACGUUUUUAGGCUACUGUCUGAGGGAAAACGUUUCUCGACCGUACCCCUCGGGCAUAAACCAGUCGGGAUGCCGUAAACGUCCGUGGCUUCGGAUUUUUACGAAAGACAAUAAGCCUGACUCUUAAUCGUCCUGUUGGUAGGUAAGAUUAGGAGAAAAUACAAAAAACCAACUAAGCUUGUAGAAGUCUUUUGAAGUCAUUUUUCGGACGAGGGUUCAAUUCCCUCCGCCUCCACUC
This 362-nucleotide transfer-messenger RNA is filed under the name Patescibacteria group. RNAcentral's name for it is "JACOZU01 sp016181165 X7 Standard tmRNA". It matches the Rfam family "transfer-messenger RNA". From Rfam's summary of the family: Bacterial tmRNA, also known as 10Sa RNA or SsrA, is named for its dual tRNA and mRNA-like properties. Its role is to liberate the mRNA from a stalled ribosome. To accomplish this part of the tmRNA is used as a reading frame that ends in a translation stop signal. The record is from RNAcentral. RNAcentral also lists the same sequence under 2 other names.